GGUUGAUCCUGCCAGUAGUCAUAUGCUUGUCUCAAAGAUUAAGCCAUGCAUGUCUAAGUAUAAACAACUUUAUACUGUGAAACUGCGUACAGCUCAUUAUAUCAGUAAUUAUUUAUUUGAUGGUACUUUACUAUAUGGAUAACCGUAGUAACUCUAGAGCUAAUACAUGCGUAAAAUCCCGAUUCGAAAGGAAAGGGAUGUAUUUAUUAGAUACAAAACCAACGCGGCUCCGGCCGGUUCUUGGUGAUUCAUAAUAACUGAUCGAAUCGCAGGCUUGUCCAGCGAUAGUUCAU
Molecule: ribosomal RNA, 293 nt
Filed under: uncultured eukaryote
Lineage: Eukaryota
Description: partial 18S ribosomal RNA
Rfam family: Eukaryotic small subunit ribosomal RNA
Source: RNAcentral